AGUUUCUAAGGAUCAUGUCUGCGAGCCAGGAUUCCCGAUCCAGAGACAAUGGCCCCGAUGGGAUGGAGCCCGAAGGCGUCAUCGAGGUGAGACUGGAGAAAUGGAAUUCUGUCCUCCCCCAUUACAACUUUCAGCCUCACAGUUGUAUAGAGUUAGAGUGGCCUCUUGAUUGAUUUCCCAGACCAUCUAGAAGCAGCUGGUUUCCCUAAAGGGAGGAGGGGUUGUAAGCUCUGAGGCUUUUGUUAGUAGGCACCAGAUUCUGUUUGCUCUGAGACUACAGCUCAGCUCCACCUUUUCCAUGACUCAAGCUUUAAUUUCUUUGCAUCCCCUAGAGUAACUGGAAUGAGAUUGUUGACAGCUUUGAUGACAUGAACCUCUCGGAGUCCCUUCUCCGUGGUAUCUACGCCUAUGGUUUUGAGAAGCCCUCUGCCAUCCAGCAGCGAGCCAUUCUACCUUGUAUCAAGGAUACAGAAGGUGGUCAUGGCAUUAGGAGACUACAUGGGCGCCUCCUGUCACGCCUGUAUCGGGGGCACCAACGUGCGUGCUGAGGUGCAGAAACUGCAGAUGGAAGCUCCCCACAUCAUCGUGGGUACCCCUGGCCGUGUGUUUGAUAUGCUUAACCGGAGAUACCUGUGUGAGUAAUUCAGUUCUCCAAUCCCCUGGGUCACUUUGCU
RNAcentral lists this small RNA (674 nucleotides) under Pan troglodytes (chimpanzee). RNAcentral's name for it is "retained intron". Lineage: Eukaryota; Metazoa; Chordata; Mammalia; Primates; Hominidae. The record is from RNAcentral.